CUAGUCUUUCCCCGUUCUACU
RNAcentral lists this microRNA (21 nucleotides) under Ciona intestinalis (vase tunicate). RNAcentral's name for it is "cin-miR-5596a-5p". Lineage: Eukaryota; Metazoa; Chordata; Ascidiacea; Phlebobranchia; Cionidae. The record is from miRBase by way of RNAcentral.